AGGGAGACAACACAAUGAUUUUGAUGCCUGAGUACUUUUAUUCUUAGGCCGAAAUCCUGUCACCUUAGGUCGAUCGGUACCUCAGCUUUGAAGUCAAGGAUCAGCAGCAAUGUUGAUUGCUUGAUGGAGAUUUUUAGUUCCUAAACUUUGUCUAGGUCACACCCCAAAAGGGAUGAGACUCCUGGGCCAUUAGCUCAGGUGGUUAGAGCGCACCCCUGAUAAGGGUGAGGUCCCUGGUUCAAGUCCAGGAUGGCCCAUUCGGUGUUGGGGGUUUAGCUCAGUUGGUAGAGCGCCUGCUUUGCAAGCAGGAUGUCAGGAGUUCGAGUCUCCUAACCUCCACUGACCGAACUUGAUUCCCAUCUCCAAUUUUUUGGAGUUGAGCUCGAUUGGAGUGUGAUUUAGAUGUGUCCGCUGGAUGACCCCAGCUUCCUGUCAUUCCAAGUUUUAGAUUUUAAGUCUUAAAUUUGGUUGAUAAGAUGCUGGGCUCGGAUCAAAUAAUCAAGCAAUUGAUGAUUUGAUUUGAAGUUCUAGCAGAACCUUGACAACUGCAUAGGUGAAGUCUGGAAAAACAAAGCAUCUUACAGAUGCAUUGUUUUGAAUCUGAUCUUCUGAAAGGGAGAUUGGAUCUAGAACAAUGAAAAUUCUUUUGAGCAAGAGCCGAGACUCUUAAAUGUUCUUUGAUUCGUGUCGAGCGAAUCAGAGUUUGAUCUUGUUUUUAGCAAUAAAAACUUGAGAAUCUGCUUUCAACGGCGGUAAGCGUUUAAGAGGUUAAUU
RNAcentral lists this transfer RNA (774 nucleotides) under uncultured Synechococcus sp. RNAcentral's name for it is "16S-23S ribosomal RNA intergenic spacer". The stretch from base 267 to 339 matches the Rfam family "tRNA". The record is from RNAcentral. Lineage: Bacteria; Bacillati; Cyanobacteriota; Cyanophyceae; Synechococcales; Synechococcaceae.